UACGUAGGGGGCAAGCGUUGUCCGGAUUUAUUGGGCGUAAGGAGCGUGUAGGCGGCCAUGCAGGUCCGUCGUGAAAACUCGAGGCUCAACCUCGAGACGCCGAUGGAAACCGCAUGGCUAGAGUCCGGAAGAGGAGAGUGGAAUUCCUGGUGUGGCGGUGAAAUGCGCAGAUAUCAGGAGGAACACCCGUGGCUAAGGCGGCUCUCUAGUACGGUACUGACGCUGAGACGCGAAAGCGUGGGGAGCGAACAGG
This 253-nucleotide ribosomal RNA is filed under the name uncultured bacterium. RNAcentral's name for it is "partial 16S ribosomal RNA". It matches the Rfam family "Bacterial small subunit ribosomal RNA", at positions 524 to 776 of the family's 1533-position model. The record is from RNAcentral.